Molecule: long non-coding RNA, 877 nt
Organism: Hippocampus zosterae (dwarf seahorse)
Lineage: Eukaryota; Metazoa; Chordata; Actinopteri; Syngnathiformes; Syngnathidae
Exons: 2
Source: RefSeq, a predicted model, not a curated record
UACUACUACUCUUGUUGUCCUUUUUUAGUUGUUGUUUACAUGCCCCCAUCAUGUAUCUUGUUCUCUUGUGACCGAUGCACUGUCUGCCGUGAAAUGCCAUGAUCUGCCUUCGUGUUGAAGAUCACAAGGACACCGCUAGCCUGGAGUCACAUUCACAUUUGACCACAGGGAAAAUAUUGAACACAGUGAACCGUCGCUAAUUGUGGAGGUUAAUGACAAAGCGCAGAAUUAGAAUUGCUGAAAGAUGCCGCAAGAUUUCGACAAAGGACUACUUUUGUCUUUUGCCCCCAAAAUCCCGCUUCACAGUCAUGAAUGACAUCCAAAUGAAAUCAAAUAGGUCGUCGUCCAACAACUGAAAAAUCCAGUUUGAUCAAAAUAGUACCGGUAUACACCAAAUGGCGCCCAAGGCACUUUACAAGGCCUCACAUUCGCCGAUUGCUUUUCCACGGCCACUCAAAUCCCAAAUCAAAUUACCGCCAAUUCAGCCGUAUUAUGUAUAAGUGUAUAGUAAUGUUUGUUUGGUACCGAGAUGCCAUAAGAUAAGCACAAAAACAGCUAAUAAGUGUGUUUUUAGAGCGGGAUAGGUUCACCCUAAAAAUCUGUGAUGAGGUGAAGCUGUACGUACUGGAGGCAGUGUAGCCAUCAGAAUUGCUGCGGAAUCUUCAAAAUAACAAAUACAAGUAAAUUAGUACAAUUUCAUGGAACAUGUACUAGCUAUGAAGUUGUACACGUUAGGGCAGUGCUUCAGGUAGUGUUCAGGUCAGCACAGAAGGUCUUGCUGAAUGCGCAUGAGUCAUGUUUUUGAGACCAGUGUAAUUUGCAAGCAUUUCUCUGUUGACAGCGUUUCUUAAUAAAGUGCAUUGCCGAGGGUUUGAAA